This 529-nucleotide ribosomal RNA is filed under the name uncultured bacterium. RNAcentral describes it as "bacterial SSU rRNA". It matches the Rfam family "Bacterial small subunit ribosomal RNA", at positions 355 to 896 of the family's 1533-position model. The record is from RNAcentral.
UGGGGAAUUUUCCGCAAUGGGCGAAAGCCUGACGGAGCAAUACCGCGUGAGGGAAGACUGCCUAUGGGUUGUAAACCUCUUUUUUCAGGGAGGAAUAAAAUGACGUGUACCUGAAGAAUAAGCAUCGGCUAACUCCGUGCCAGCAGCCGCGGUAAGACGGAGGAUGCAAGUGUUAUCCGGAAUCACUGGGCGUAAAGCGUCUGUAGGUGGUUUAAUAAGUCAACUGUUAAAUCUUGAGGCUCAACUUCAAAAUCGCAGUCGAAACUAUUAGACUAGAGUAUAGUAGGGGUAAAGGGAAUUUCCAGUGGAGCGGUGAAAUGCGUAGAUAUUGGAAAGAACACCGAUGGCGAAAGCACUUUACUGGGCUAUUACUAACACUCAGAGACGAAAGCUAGGGUAGCAAAUGGGAUUAGAUACCCCAGUAGUCCUAGCCGUAAACUAUGGAUACUAGAUGUUGAACAGAUCGACCUGUGCAGUAUCAAAGCUAACGCGUUAAGUAUCCCGCCUGGGAAGUAUGCUCGCAAGAGUG